CCCGGAACUCCUGUUCAUUACCAACAGAAAAGUAAUCAUUUGGUUUACCAGAAACCUGUUUAGUGGUAGGUAUAGUUAAUGGAGAAAUUUGGUUUCCAUAUGUAUUAGAUAAUGAUUACCAGGUAAAAAUUCUUGACGUUGUAAAUUUUGUAUUGUGAAUGGAGUGAUUAGUGAAAGAUCGAAAAGAUACAAGAUCAAGUGAAACUAUUUCGAAAAGAUCACAUCAUUUACGACGGAUUAAUUACUAAUAAUUAUAUAUUUAAACACCUAAUUAAAAACAUAAUUUUCUAUACAAUCAUGCUUCAGAUAGCAUGAUCAUCACACAGGUUAAUAGGUUCACAACAAAUUAAGCAUCAAGCCAUCAAAGACUUCCUAACAAGGGAUAUGAUUGAUUAUAUAUACAGCAGAACCUAAAGCAGCAGCGGCAGCCGCAUCUCAAAGUUGAUCAGGCCAGAGAAAUGCCCCCAUGGCAAAUGCUCUCUUCUCAUCAACACUGCCCUGGAAGCUGAACCCGUACUCUUUCAGCAGCAUGUCCACCCUCCAUUCUUCCAUC
RNAcentral lists this long non-coding RNA (553 nucleotides) under Theobroma cacao (cacao). Its description in RNAcentral is "long non-coding RNA (TCAC_LNC004137)". Lineage: Eukaryota; Viridiplantae; Streptophyta; Magnoliopsida; Malvales; Malvaceae. The record is from RNAcentral.